GUCAUACAUUUCCCAGAAUGAACCAGAUUUCAUCAGAACUUGGAAGCUAAAUAGGGUUGAGCCUGGAUAGUGCUGAGGUGAUUGACCACCACGUAUACCGGAUUGUCA
Ribosomal RNA from Petromyzon marinus (sea lamprey), 108 nucleotides. The record is from Ensembl. Lineage: Eukaryota; Metazoa; Chordata; Hyperoartia; Petromyzontiformes; Petromyzontidae.